This 406-nucleotide ribosomal RNA is filed under the name uncultured bacterium. Its description in RNAcentral is "partial 16S ribosomal RNA". It matches the Rfam family "Bacterial small subunit ribosomal RNA", at positions 30 to 526 of the family's 1533-position model. The record is from RNAcentral.
AUUGAACGCUGGCGGCAGGCCUAACACAUGCAAGUCGAGCGAGCGGCGGACGGGAGAGUAAUGUAUGGGGAUAUGCCCGAUAGAGGGGGACAACUAAUGGUAACGGUGGCUAAUACCGCCUACUAUCGGAGGAACCCAUAUGGGAUUAGCUAGUAGGUGGGGUAAAGGCUCACCUAGGCGACGAUCUCUAGUUGGUAUGAGAGGAUGAUCAGCCACACUGGGACUGAGACACGGCGCAGACUCCUACGGGAGGCAGCAGUGGGGAAUUUUGAACAAUGGGCGCAAGCCUGAUGCAGCCAUGCCGCGUGUAUGAAGAAGGCCUUAGGGUUGUAAAGUACUUUCAGCGGGGAGGCGUUACCCGCAGAAGAAGCACCGGCUAACUCCGUGCCAGCCGCCGCGGUAAUUC